Molecule: non-coding RNA, 46 nt
Filed under: Schistosoma margrebowiei
Lineage: Eukaryota; Metazoa; Platyhelminthes; Trematoda; Strigeidida; Schistosomatidae
Source: RNAcentral
GUACUGCUGAGGAGUCCUAUAUUAGGGCGAAACAGCUGUCCAGUGC